RNAcentral lists this ribosomal RNA (490 nucleotides) under uncultured bacterium. Its description in RNAcentral is "partial 16S ribosomal RNA". It matches the Rfam family "Bacterial small subunit ribosomal RNA", at positions 30 to 507 of the family's 1533-position model. The record is from RNAcentral.
AUUGAACGCUGGCGGCAGGCCUAACACAUGCAAGUCGAACGGUAACAGGAAGACGCUUGCUUCUUUGCUGACGAGUGGCGGACGGGUGAGUAACGUCUGGGAAACUGCCUGAUGGAGGGGGAUAACUACUGGAAACGGUAGCUAAUACCGCAUAAUGUCGCAAGACCAAAGAGGGGGACCUUCGGGCCUCUUGCCAUCGGAUGUGCCCAGAUGGGAUUAGCUAGUAGGUGGGGUAACGGCUCACCUAGGCGACGAUCCCUAGCUGGUCUGAGAGGAUGACCAGCCACACUGGAACUGAGACACGGUCCAGACUCCUACGGGAGGCAGCAGUGGGGAAUAUUGCACAAUGGGCGCAAGCCUGAUGCAGCUAUGCCGCGUGUAUGAAGAAGGCCUUCGGGUUGUAAAGUACUUUCAGCGGGGAGGAAGGGAGUAAAGUUAAUACCUUUGCUCAUUGACGUUACCCGCAGAAGAAGCACCGGCUAACUCCGUG